Molecule: ribosomal RNA, 465 nt
Filed under: uncultured bacterium
Lineage: Bacteria
Description: partial 16S ribosomal RNA
Rfam family: Bacterial small subunit ribosomal RNA
Source: RNAcentral
GACGAACGCUGGCGGCGUGCUUAACACAUGCAAGUCGAACGGAAAGGCCCUGCUUGCAGGGUACUCGAGUGGCGAACAGGUGAGUAGCACGUGGGUGAUCUGCCCUGCACUUCGGGAUAAGCCUGGGAAACUGGGUCUAAUACCGGAUAGGAGCCAUUUUUAGUGUGAUGGUUGGAAAGUUUUUUCGGUGUAGGAUGAGCUCGCGGCCUAUCAGCUUGUUGGUGGGGUAAUGGCCUACCAAGGCGGCGACGGGUAGCCGGCCUGAGAGGGUGGACGGCCACAUUGGGACUGAGAUACGGCCCAGACUCCUACGGGAGGCAGCAGUGGGGAAUAUUGCACAAUGGGCGCAAGCCUGAUGCAGCGACGCCGCGUGGGGGAUGACGGCCUUCGGGUUGUAAACUCCUUUCGCUAGGGACGAAGCUUUUUGUGACGGUACCUAGAUAAGAAGCACCGGCUAACUACGUG